Molecule: long non-coding RNA, 2000 nt
Organism: Triticum aestivum (bread wheat)
Lineage: Eukaryota; Viridiplantae; Streptophyta; Magnoliopsida; Poales; Poaceae
Exons: 4
Source: RefSeq, a predicted model, not a curated record
UCGCGGCCACCGCAAGCCUUUCCUCCCACCCCGCCUCCUCUCGUCUCUUUGCCCCCGAUCUAGAUGGCGCCUCCAAUCUCGGCGGGGCGGCGACCUCGAGCGACGGCAGCACCGCUGGAUCUCCUCCACCCCCACUCAAUCAAUACUGGUACCCGAGGCUCUCCUCCUCGACCGACCGCGAGCAACGCCGCCGCCUCACCGUCUUCUUCUACCAUCACCAACCGCCUGCUCGCGUCCCCGCCAUCCCCUUGUUUGUGGUCUGUGAUGGAGUGAAGUAUCGAUGACCAUCACCUCUCCCCCGCCAUCAUAUUCCCUAGAGGUGGAUACAAAGCUUUGGGAUGACCCACUCGGUGCCGGCUGGAACACCCACGACGCCGGGCUCCUCGGCGUGGCUCCCGCGAGAAUGGGUGCACAUCGGAAUCUGUCCUGCAACGCCAGCGAUUCCAUGGCGAAGUGAUUGUGUUCGACAACAGUAACUUGGGUUGGUUUCCAUCUAUAGAUUGUAGAUGGGAAAUGAUACCUGGUGGAGGCAAUGUUCUGUACAAGUGUUUGAUUAGAACGACACUGCAAAUAAAUUGGUGACAAGAGGCAAAUUCUUGCGGUGCCCGAUGAGGACAUACUCCUACGUCGAUCCAUGUACGAACUGGGAGCAGCAUCGAUCCGAUGAACGCACAAGGAAUAUCCAACAGAUUACCCUUACUACUAUAUUUUUUAUCCAUGAAUGUCAUCUUGGGCCCCUGUACGAUUUGAUUACAUGAUGUUGUGUCCUCAAACUUUACUCUGAGUUAUUUGUUAGAUGCUCGGUGAAAUUCAGAAUUAUUUUUCUUCUGUCUUCCCAGUGAUGGAAGGUAGAUUGAGCUGAUAAAUUUCUGCACCCACCUUGAGGUCCAUAACGUUCUCCUAAUUGUAUGCAGCACAAUCGUAAAGAUGUAUUUGUUUGAGGGAGAGGACUGUCUCUUAUCAGAAGCAACAUUAUGUGAUCAUCAUGUGUUGGAUCUUGGUCCCCUGUAUGAGUUGAAUACAUGAUUGAUGGAAGGUAGAUUGAGCUGAAAAUUUUCUGCACCCACCUUGAGGUCCAUAAGGUUCUCCUAAUUAUAUGCAGCCCAAUCGUAAAGAUAUAUUUGUUUGCGGGAGAAGACUAUCAGUUAUCAGAAGCAACAUUAUGUGAUCAUCAUGUGUGAGAGAGACGGCAAGAGUAUGUGAUAUUUAUUUCUGUGUGGACUACUAAUAUGUAUUGACUGUUCAUGUUGCUACAGUAGGUUCAUGAUUGAUUAUGGCAACAAGGAAAUCACUCGAGAAGGAUUUUAUUAGUAUGCACACUUUGAGACUUGAGAGGCUGUUAUUGAUUAAGGAAUCUAUGUCUGCUAGAGAGGCUGAUGCCAAAUCAGCAUCGGAAAAGGGCAAGAUAAGGGGACUGAGGGAGCAUAGGAGAGCAAGAUGGGGUGGUCUGCAUCACCUUCAGUUGGCACAUGCGCAUGCACCUGCAGUAAUCAUUAUCUUUCCCAUGGUUAAGAUGUAUGAUGCAUGAACUUCUAAUAUUUUGAUGUUAAUUUCAAAUGGCUGAUGGAAGAUAAUUUGCUUCUAAUAGUUGUUAUGUAUUGACCCUUGCUUGUUCUUGUUGUAGAUGAAAUUGACCUGAUAGCUCUUAUGUUAGCACUUUCUAAAGUUCACAUUUAUUACAUGCCAUUUGUGUGCUCAAGAAAUAUCUGGACAAUCUUUUGCUAGCGGUAAGUUUCAUGUUUGUGACUUUUUGCUAUGUCAAACGAAGAACAGAAGCCCGAAGCCCGUUACUGUGUGAAGGAAUGGCCUCCUUCUGAAGAUAUUUAAUUCACCAUGCUUAUUCAGGUGCGAGUUAUGUUUUUGACUGAGAUAUUUUUCCACUUUAUUCCAUGUUAAAAAAUAAAUUAGUAUUCAGUUAUUGUAUGUGUGUGUUAGAUGAGUUGUUUCUUUCCAUCUUCAGGUCGAAGUAGUUGUUUGAGUGCAUUAGCCUUUUCAUUUUC